RNAcentral lists this ribosomal RNA (253 nucleotides) under uncultured bacterium. RNAcentral's name for it is "partial 16S ribosomal RNA". It matches the Rfam family "Bacterial small subunit ribosomal RNA", at positions 524 to 776 of the family's 1533-position model. The record is from RNAcentral.
UACGUAGGGUCCGAGCGUUGUCCGGAAUUACUGGGCGUAAAGAGCUCGUAGGUGGUUUGUCGCGUUGUUCGUGAAAACUCACAGCUCAACUGUGGGCGUGCGGGCGAUACGGGCAGACUUGAGUACUGCAGGGGAGACUGGAAUUCCUGGUGUAGCGGUGGAAUGCGCAGAUAUCAGGAGGAACACCGGUGGCGAAGGCGGGUCUCUGGGCCGAUACUGACGCUGAGGAGCGAAAGCGUGGGGAGCAAACAGG